Molecule: long non-coding RNA, 222 nt
Filed under: Vigna radiata
Lineage: Eukaryota; Viridiplantae; Streptophyta; Magnoliopsida; Fabales; Fabaceae
Description: long non-coding RNA (VRAD_LNC002860)
Source: RNAcentral
UGGUAUUUGGCAUUUGGAGACACUUAAGAGCGAAAAAAGGUCAGAAAUGGUGAGGAAUGGUAAUGCUAGGGAUAGAUUUCAUCAAAUUCACUCUCUUGCACACAAAAUCCUCCCCUCGCCAUCAAACACUAAUGUCAACCCACUAAAACAAUUUAUCCCUAAUCCCUUAGGUGGAAAAGCCUAGGUUUUCUAGCUAAGCAUCAAUCCCUUGAUCACUCCACA